Long non-coding RNA from Centropristis striata (black sea bass), 259 nucleotides. RefSeq lists it as uncharacterized. The record is from RefSeq and is a predicted model, not a curated record. The transcript has 3 exons. NCBI's taxonomy places the organism in Eukaryota, Metazoa, Chordata, Actinopteri, Perciformes, Serranidae.
GCGGCCGGCCAGCAUUUAACGGACACUGAUGCUGUGGAUAUAUCUACAUGGAUGUCUCUCCUGAGUUUUUGACAGCUGACAGCUUUACUCUCAGGUUCUCAAUCUGGCUUGAGGGGAAUCCCUACUGUCUAAACUCUACCUGGAAGCAAGGCAAGAGGCUCUCACAGAGGAUCUACCAGAUAUCGACUUCAGAGCAACCCUCAUCUUUUUGCCACACAUCUUCAAGGAGAACAUUGAGUGCUUUAUUACUCCUGGAAAG